UGAAGAGUCGUCCUUUUCCCUUCUAUUGUUCCAUACAGAGACUCUGAUCCAGUGUGAGGCCCUGUCCAGCUCCAAACUGUCCAGCUGCCUGGUGGGAAGAACAAAGAGGAAAGAGUGAAGAACAGCAAAGAGGCC
Grammomys surdaster is the source of this 135-nucleotide long non-coding RNA. RefSeq lists it as uncharacterized. The record is from RefSeq and is a predicted model, not a curated record. Lineage: Eukaryota; Metazoa; Chordata; Mammalia; Rodentia; Muridae. The transcript is spliced from 3 exons.